RNAcentral lists this long non-coding RNA (262 nucleotides) under Elaeis guineensis (African oil palm). RNAcentral's name for it is "long non-coding RNA (EGUI_LNC057290)". Lineage: Eukaryota; Viridiplantae; Streptophyta; Magnoliopsida; Arecales; Arecaceae. The record is from RNAcentral.
ACUAAGAACCAAUGGCCUGUAUAUGGUGAAACUGGCUUGAAACUAAUGAAAUUUAUCGAUUCCAACUUUCAGUCAGACCAUGAUAAUAGUAAUAGUGUGUCAGGUUAUAUUUUUAUCCUAAACAGUGGAUCGAUCUGUUGAAAGUUUUAAGUAGCACACUGUUACUGACUCUAUUUGUGAAGCAGAGUAUAUCGCAGCAUCUGAUGCUGUGAAGGAAGCUGUGUGGUUGUGAAAGUUCAUCGAUGAGCUUGAAGUGGCACCC